Molecule: ribosomal RNA, 240 nt
Filed under: uncultured bacterium
Lineage: Bacteria
Description: partial 16S ribosomal RNA
Rfam family: Bacterial small subunit ribosomal RNA
Source: RNAcentral
AGUGGCGGACGGGUGAGUAACGCGUGGGUAACCUGCCUCAUACAGGGGGAUAACAGUUAGAAAUGACUGCUAAUACCGCAUAAGACCACAGAGCCGCAUGGCUCAGUGGGAAAAACUCCGGUGGUAUGAGAUGGACCCGCGUCUGAUUAGGUAGUUGGUGGGGUAACGGCCUACCAAGCCAACGAUUAGUAGCCGACCUGAGAGGGUGACCGGCCACAUUGGGACUGAGACACGGCCCAA